RNAcentral lists this unclassified non-coding RNA (405 nucleotides) under Anneissia japonica. RNAcentral's name for it is "transcription initiation factor TFIID subunit 7-like, transcript variant X1". The record is from RNAcentral. Lineage: Eukaryota; Metazoa; Echinodermata; Crinoidea; Comatulida; Comatulidae.
UAACACCUCUACUAAAGAAUGUGAGAAAAUGAAGGUUCAGAAAAAGAAGCCAAGAAAUAGUACAUAGAAUCACCAGAUAUUGAGAAAGAAGUGAAAAGACUACUAAGAAUGGACAGCACAGCUAUCAGAAUCCGAUGGGAAGUGUUGCCUGAUAAAGAUGGCAAAGAAGACACAAAAAGUGAAUUACAAAUACAGUAGAUAGCAACGACUGGAAACAGAUCUUUGAAGAGGUUAGUAGCUCAGAGAAUGAGGAAGGGGAAGAAGACGUCAACAUCAUGGAGGUCGGGGAUUCCCAGCAAGGCAUGGAGGAGUUCAAAGUACAAAAUGUCACUGAUGCUCUCAAAGGAUUAGAAGCGGCUGUAGAUCAAGAUAACACAAUCACAGAAGACAGCAUGCAGCAUGAGA